AGGACGAACGCUGGCGGCGUGCUUAACACAUGCAAGUCGAGCGAGGCUCCUCCUUCGGGAGGAAGCCCUAGCGGCGAACGGGUGAGUAACACGUGGGCAACCUGCCCCUAGCACUGGGAUAACCCCGGGAAACCGGGGCUAAUACCGGAUACGACUUCGGAAGGCAUCUUCUGAAGUGGAAAAGGUUACUGGCUAGGGAUGGGCCCGCGGCCUAUCAGCUUGUUGGUGGGGUAAUGGCCCACCAAGGCGACGACGGGUAGCCGGCCUGAGAGGGCGACCGGCCACACUGGGACUGAGACACGGCCCAGACUCCUACGGGAGGCAGCAGUGGGGAUAUUGCACAAUGGGCGAAAGCCUGAUGCAGCGACGCCGCGUGAGGGAUGACGGCCUUCGGGUUGUAAACCUCUUUCAGCAGGGACGAAGCGAAGUGACGGUACCUGCAGAAGAAGCACCGGCCAACUACGCGCCAGCAGCCGC
This 477-nucleotide ribosomal RNA is filed under the name uncultured bacterium. RNAcentral describes it as "SSU rRNA". It matches the Rfam family "Bacterial small subunit ribosomal RNA", at positions 26 to 518 of the family's 1533-position model. The record is from RNAcentral.